Mus musculus (house mouse) is the source of this 1731-nucleotide long non-coding RNA. RefSeq annotates it as predicted gene, 32986. NCBI's taxonomy places the organism in Eukaryota, Metazoa, Chordata, Mammalia, Rodentia, Muridae. The transcript has 3 exons. The record is from RefSeq and is a predicted model, not a curated record.
UGCCACAUCCCAGAGAAGAAGGUAGUCUCAAAGGACAUGAGUGCAUCAGCUGGAAUGCUGGAGAGAUAGCUCAGGUCCUAAGAGAGCUUACUGCUCUUCCAAAUGACCAGAGUUCUGCUCUCAGCAUGCACUUGGAUGAGCCACUUCAAUGAUGGGAUAUAAAGAGUAAGAAGAAAGACUCCUUCCUUCCUUGAGUUGCUCCUGGUUAGUCUUAUCACAAUAACAGAGAAGCUUGUGACACCCAGUGAAGAACUCGUAGGGUGAUAUCCAAAGCCAGCUCAUGUGGGAGUCCUGCUCACGUCCAUGUGUAACUUUCUAUUUUUCCAGGACUACAAAUCUGCCCCCUCCCCAACAAACAUGCCUCCUCCUUUUCCACCUUAGGUUCUCUGCAAGAAUCUGUACUUCCUGGGUUGGCACAACAGAUGUCUUCCUGCCCUUCACAUCUCUAACCUAGAUCCUUUUUCCAGAGAUAUCUUGCCUACCGCUUAGCCAAAGAAGCUUCCAAGCUCACAAAACUGGUUUUGUUUCAUCUUUACAGCCCAUAGAACAGAUUGAUGCUUCCCUCCUAUUUAUGGAUCUGCUGUCUUUUUCUUCCUCUGAAAAUUACUCUCCCCACGAGCAGGGCCUCAACCACAUUCCCCACUCUUCCCCAUUACCAAGUGCACUGUAGAAGGAGGAAUCCGGUCAUGCCAACACCGAGGACCCCUCAGUGUGCAACCAUGGAAACAGAGACAGCACUGAAUGAGUGUCGCAUGUGGAAAAAGUGACAGAGUUGGGGCCCCAACCAAGGACGAUUUCACACAUCAACAGAACCAUCUGCCUGCGCCUUGGAUCCUGCUUCCUGUCCAGUUUCAAGAAGAGGCAUCUACCAGGGUGUGGACUCAGGGAAUUGCCCAAGUCUCCCUGCAGACCAGUGCUCAACCUCGUGCAACACAAAGUUUCGAGUUUCCUGUGCUCAGCUCAAAGGGUGUGAACACACCAGAGAGACUUCAAGAGGCGGUUCCUAUGGGUCACAGCUGGAUCAGCCUCCCUUGGAGUCUGUUCUCAUCAGAUGCAUGGUCACACUGAGUAAUGUCAUCCAGAUGCAGCUCCAAGGUUCAUCUCCGUGACACGCGGAUGCCAGAUGCUCUUCCUGAUUUGAAUUUCAAACUCCACAGCAACAGUCAUCCAACCGUGCCCAUCGCUUUCCAACAAGCAGGUCUAGACCCUGACUCCAUCUUAAGCUCCACGGUGGCCUUCAAGAGUGGCCUCCACAGCUGCUAGCCUGCCACUCUGUCUGACCACCACUUGGGGGACUAUUUCGAGUGUCUUCUACUGCAUGUGAUGACGGUGUGAUAGCAUAUGCAAAUUGCUGCUGUGUGGGAACAGCCUCCAGAGACCCUGGGGACAAGACCUGGCAAUGUCCCUCUUGCUUCAACCUGUGCUUUUGAUUCCUCUGUCAGAUAUCAAUAGCAAGCUAGCCUCCUGAGAUGGGAGUCAGACACAGAGUUGUUACAACAACUCUAAGGAGUUGUUAUAGUCAAGUGUCUUAGCCAUCAAGACUUUUCACAAUCUGACUCUCCGUCUAGGCAGAAACCCAUUGUUGUAGGUUGAAGGCUUGUGCUCAUCCCAAACUCACAUGCUGAUAACUGACCUCAGAGUGACAGCAUUAGGAGAUGAGACCCUUAUGGAGAUAGUUGAGUUAAGAUGCAAUCAUGAGAACAACAUUAUGAACUAACCAGUACCCCGGAG